Long non-coding RNA from Moschus moschiferus (Siberian musk deer), 1836 nucleotides. The record is from Ensembl. NCBI's taxonomy places the organism in Eukaryota, Metazoa, Chordata, Mammalia, Artiodactyla, Moschidae.
UCCUCACAUAUUUUAUAUAUAUUAUAUAUAUGUGUGUAUAUGAAAAGUGAAGGUCUUAGUCACUCAGUCGUGCCCAACUCUUUGUGUCCCUAGGAUUGUAACCCGCCAGACUCCUCUGUCCCUGGAAUUGUCCAGGCAGGAAUACUGGAGUGGGUUGCCAUUUCCUCCUCCAGGGGUUCUUCCCGACCUAGGGAUUGAACUUGCAUCUCCUGCGUUGCAGGCAGAUUCUGUACCAUCUGAGCCACUUGUAUAGUGCGUGUGUGAGAGAGAGAGAACAUUUGAGUUCUGCUCUUAAAUUUCAAUUAUACAAUACAAUGCUAUCAACUAUGGUUAAUAAUUAUUCAUUUACUAUGUACAAGGCACUGUGCCAAAUGCUUUAAAUAAAUUAUUUAAUCCCGAAAAGAGCUCUCUUGCUCAGGUGAGGAAACCUGAGGUUCAGCAAGGCUAAGAAACUUGCCCAAGGUCCUGACAGCUGGUCACCUGCAAGUCCAGGUCCCGAGCCCAGGCUGGAGCUUUUUCUCCCUGGUUAGCGGUGCUGAGGGAAUGAAAACAAACACAGGUGGGUCCAGAUUCCUUCUGAGGAACCUCUUGUCUUGUCUUUGAAGGCUCAACCACAGGAAUUAUCUCUUGGAGUCACCUCACAAGUACAGUGUCGCUGACCUCCAGCAGAUCGCGGACGGGGUGUACGAAGGCUUCCUCAAGGCCCUGAUCGAGUUUGCCUCCCAGCACGUCUACCACUGCGACCUGUGCACCCAGCGCGGCUUCAUUUGCCAGAUCUGCCACCACCAUGACAUCAUCUUUCCCUUUGAGUUUGACACCACAGUCAGGUGCGGCGAAUGCAAGACCGUCUUCCACCAGACCUGCCAAGCUGUGGUCAAGAAGGGCUGCCCCCGCUGUGCCCGCCGGCGCAAAUACCAGGAGCAGAGCAGUCUCACCUAAUCCCACCUCUUGUCCCCACCCGGGACCCGGGGCUCAGCCAUCCCAGCCGGGUUGGCCACCAGCCUGGCCACACUCUCAAGGUGUCACAGAGCCAAAAAGACUCUCAGAUGAGUCCAGAGCACUGGCCUACGAGACGGAGCCCCGGGAACCCCUGAUGACACCUCCUGCCCCCCACCCAUCUGCUCCAGGAGGCCCAGACACCAGCAGGUGCCCCCUGUCCAAUGGUGUGGGAGGAAGGGGCCUUUGCACUAAUCAGCCCAGCUCCCCUCACUGACACCCCAUCCCCAUGAGGGCUGUUCACCACUGUGGAAACAAGACUUGGGGAGCAUUUUCAAUUCCACAUUCCUGAUUAAAAGGUCUAGUUUUUUUAAGGUGGGUUUUUUUUCCCUUCAUAUUUCGACAGAAGAUAUUUUUUUAUUCUUGACCCUCCACAAGUCACCCAAGAAAUCCAGGCAUUCUCACCCUGAGCAAAUGUGUAGAAACCACUCAGGCCCAGCCUGGAGGUGGGUGGUGGCUGGGUGGAUGGGCCCCCCAGGACAGAGCCCACCAGCUGGCGGGUGCCUUUCCUUCGCCCUCACCAGGCGCUUGCUGCUGGCAGCUCCUGAACAACGUGCCAAACUGCCGUGGGCCAGGCAGGCUCAGUCCUGAGGACCACGUUCUUUCCCCUCCUCAGCCCCAUCUGCUCCCUGGUCCCCCCUCCACCUGGAAAGCCCUUCAAUUUCUCUGUGUCAAAACCCACCCCCCACUGCUCCUGCCGCUCUCCUAUAGCCUGGGAUCUUGGUCCCGAAGGAGGAGGGCUAUGACUCGGAACCAGCACUGUCAGCACUUUGAGCCUUCCUUGGUCCAGGGAAAGGUCGUCAUCUAGCCCACCCCUCAGCCCUCUGCCCUCCUCACUCC